Molecule: non-coding RNA, 21 nt
Filed under: Caenorhabditis elegans
Lineage: Eukaryota; Metazoa; Nematoda; Chromadorea; Rhabditida; Rhabditidae
Source: RNAcentral
UAUUAAUUUUACGAAACGGUG